GCGCCCGCAGCCGCGGUAAUACGUAGGUCCCGAGCUCUGUCCGGAUUUAUUGGGCGUAAAGCGAGCGCAGGCGGUUAGAUAAGUCUGAAGUUAAAGGGCUGUGGCUUAACCAUAGUACGCUUUGGAAACUGUUUAACUUGAGUGCAAGAGGGGAGAGUGGAAUUCCAUGUGUAGCGGUGAAAUGCGUAGAUAUAUGGAGGAACACCGGUGGCGAAAGCGGCUCUCUGGCUUGUAACUGACGCUGAGGCUCGAAAGCGUGGGGAGCAAACAGGAUUAGAUACCCUGGUAGUCC
This 292-nucleotide ribosomal RNA is filed under the name uncultured microorganism. Its description in RNAcentral is "partial 16S ribosomal RNA". It matches the Rfam family "Bacterial small subunit ribosomal RNA", at positions 505 to 796 of the family's 1533-position model. The record is from RNAcentral.